GAAAAAAUUGAGGAGGAGUUAAGGUAUCUUGAUGGGCAUGUCAUUGCAGCAUCCACUGUCCUCAACAAGUACUUGAAAAUCUCGCUUAUGGAUGAAAUGCGUCUCUUAACUGAAGACAGUGUUGGAUACAUUCGUGGACGCACUCGCCAUAGGAUUUAGGUCCCAACCUCUUAAGUACUAUAAUAAUAUCCUUAAGGGGUAACAAAUAUAUGUAUUGAAUGGAAGGGCUUUAUUAAACCUUCUUAAAUAAAUAUAUUAUUAUGAA
This is a non-coding RNA of Cicer arietinum (chickpea), 265 nucleotides long. NCBI's taxonomy places the organism in Eukaryota, Viridiplantae, Streptophyta, Magnoliopsida, Fabales, Fabaceae. The record is from RefSeq and is a predicted model, not a curated record.